Molecule: long non-coding RNA, 312 nt
Filed under: Fukomys damarensis (Damara mole-rat)
Lineage: Eukaryota; Metazoa; Chordata; Mammalia; Rodentia; Bathyergidae
Description: lncRNA (ENSFDAG00000029482.1)
Source: RNAcentral
GAUGCAUCUUACCUUUCUGCCCCUGGAACAGGAAUGAAAUUUUAUAGGAAAUCGUUCUUCUUUAUCUGUGAAGGUUUCUGAGGCUGCAGGUUGACAGAGAUCCGCUUGGGCUGUGCCUUGUUGGCUCUGAUACAUCGAUCGCCAUUUCUUUUACAUCGCACAGAGGAGGCCCUGAGCGCUGACCCGGGUGAGCACGGACCGCAAUCUGGGAGCCCAAGGAAGGGAGAAGCUGGACCACGGAGUUAUCCACGCACAAUUUAUUCAUCAGCGGCACACAGAGCACAACUCGCCGAUUAACGCAGAAGAUGAGGA